This 259-nucleotide ribosomal RNA is filed under the name uncultured bacterium. Its description in RNAcentral is "partial 16S ribosomal RNA". It matches the Rfam family "Bacterial small subunit ribosomal RNA", at positions 524 to 776 of the family's 1533-position model. The record is from RNAcentral.
UACAGAGGUCUCAAGCGUUUGUUCGGAUUCAUUGGGCGUAAAGGGUGCGUAGGUGGCGCCGUAAGUCAGGUGUGAAAUUUCGGAGCUUAACUCCGAAACUGCAUUUGAUACUGCGGUGCUUUGAGGACUGGGAGAGGAGACUGGAAUUUACGGUGUAGCAGUGAAAUGCGUAGAGAUCGUAAGGAAGACCAGUGGCGAAGGCGGGUCUCUGGACAGUUCCUGACACUGAGGCAACGGAAGGCCAGGGGGAGCAAACGGG